UAAAACGUAGGAGGCAAGCGUUAUCCGGAUUCACUGGGCGUAAAGCGCGUGCAGGCGGUUCGGUAAGUUGGGCGUGAAAUCUCCUGGCUUAACUAGGAGAGGUCGUUCAAUACUACCGGACUUGAGAAUGAUAGAGGAAGAUGGAAUUCCCGGUGUAGUGGUGAAAUGCGUAGAUAUCGGGAGGAACACCAGUGGCGAAAGCGAUCUUCUGGGUCAUUUCUGACGCUCAGACGCGAAAGCUAGGGUAGUAAACGGGAUUAGAGACCCCGGUAAUCCUAGCCGUAAACGAUGUAAACUUGGCGUCGGUGGCUUAAACUCCAUCGGUGCCGCAGCUAACGCGAUAAGUUUACCGCCUGGGGACUACGAUCGCAAGAUUAAAACUCAAAGGAAUUGACGG
This 397-nucleotide ribosomal RNA is filed under the name uncultured bacterium. Its description in RNAcentral is "bacterial SSU rRNA". It matches the Rfam family "Bacterial small subunit ribosomal RNA", at positions 521 to 916 of the family's 1533-position model. The record is from RNAcentral.